AUCUGCUGGCAUCAUUAUUCAAAGUUUCCACUUUUCUUCCUCUGUGUGUCUUUCCCGCUUGCUCUUGCCUGGCACCAUUACAAAAUCUUGCCUGGAAAAAUCACAUGAUUUCCUAUGAGAAAGCCACAGCAUUCCCAGAGGAAGCGCAACAGCACCUCACUACUUGUUCCACACAACCUGGGUGAUGAUGCCAAACAGUUUAACAGCUCAGAUUUUAUCAACGCAUGUAAAGUAUCUCAAUAUUAAUUGGCACAAAUCAUUUCCCACUUCUGUCAAGUGGGACACAAUCAACUUUAACAAUGGCUUCUCAUUGAGGAACGACACCGUUGCACCGCAUCGUCCCAACCAAACGAUUUUCCAAAGAUUCUGCUCCUGAACAACGUCUCAUUAUCAAAGCAAUCUUCCCACAAUGGAGCAAGAAUAAAGGAAAUUACUUGAUUUCAUGUAAGACUGUGGAAAAAUGACUGCGGAUCCAAGGCUUUAAUUAGGCAAUUAGACACAAUUAGGACGUACCAGUCAAUGUGCUAAACUCAUAAGUGGCCCUGAAGUCGGCUCGGAUGCCUUUACUAUCUGCUCAACACUAGUAAAACAGCUCUUGUUGCACCAUAGCUUUAAAGGCAGGUAAAAGGCCAUUGGCUUGUAAUCAUCUUGCUAAACACCAUCCAAGUUCAUCUUGGACACAUACUCUUUAACAUAUCCAUCCAAGGUUAUGGAAUACCUUAUGCUGCAGAUGUUACAGGAACACUGGCAUCCAUUCACUUUGAAAUUAGAAAUAAAUCCAAACACAGUCACACUGAUUUGUUUGAAGCCUUUUAUACAUCUUUGUAUGUGAGUAAGGAAUUUUCUAUGUUGUUCUUGAAUGAAAUACAGCCCUAAUCAUGUUUUUAUUGUAAGUAUGUUUCGCAGAAGAUGACUACACACGUUCUAGCCCAGGUUUUAAUCAACCCUGUCUACACUAACUAUAAGGCUUUUAAAGACAUCACUCUAAAUAUGCACUUCUCUGACUCUAUGUAUAUUCCUGCGGUUGAUCACGGCAUAUCAGGGCGUUUAAAAUGACAACGUUAAGCACGUUAGCUUUGUUGACGCUCGAUAUGCAAAGAAAUGCACUUCGCUCGGUUCUAUUUACGGGGACAAAAAGGGUUAAGUGUCAAAGCAGGAGAUCAGUAACAGAGCCCUCCAAACAUCUGGUAACGCACAUGUCGGGCUGGCCCUCCCACAAAUUUCAUCAAAUUAUAUUUUCUGCAAAAUGUGCUUGAAUUGCAGGAAAAAGUUUGUUAAAAAUAUGCAUUUAAAUAAACACUGCAGAUGGAAAUAUUAACUAUAUGUUUAAAAAGUCACAAACAUUAUAUAUGUUUAAAAGGCUACAUGAUCUGAAUCAAUGAGAUAAAUAAAUUUUUCUUUAUUAGAAACAGA
Betta splendens (Siamese fighting fish) is the source of this 1413-nucleotide long non-coding RNA. RefSeq lists it as uncharacterized. Lineage: Eukaryota; Metazoa; Chordata; Actinopteri; Anabantiformes; Osphronemidae. The transcript is spliced from 2 exons. The record is from RefSeq and is a predicted model, not a curated record.